RNAcentral lists this ribosomal RNA (482 nucleotides) under uncultured bacterium. Its description in RNAcentral is "partial 16S ribosomal RNA". It matches the Rfam family "Bacterial small subunit ribosomal RNA", at positions 28 to 507 of the family's 1533-position model. The record is from RNAcentral.
GACGAACGCUGGCGGCGUGCUUAACACAUGCAAGUCGAACGAUGAAGAAGAGAAACGCGAACUUCGGUUCAAAUCUCACUUCGGAUUAGUGGCAGACGGGUGAGUAACGCGUGAGCAACCUACCUCUUACAAAGGGAUAGCCUCGGGAAACCGUGCUUAAUACCCUAUGACACAUUCAUAAGGCAUCUUAAGAAUGUUAAAGCUACGGCGGUAAGAGAUGGGCUCGCGUCCCAUUAGCUAGUUGGUGAGGUAACGGCCCACCAAGGCGACGAUGGGUAACCGGGCGGGGGAGGUGAACGAUCACGUUGGAACUGAGACACGGACCAAACUCCUACGGAGGGCAGCAGUAGGGAGUAUUACACGAUGAAGGGAACUCUAAUGCAGCGACGCCGCGUAAGAGAUGAAGGAAUUCGUAUCGUAAAGCUCUGUUCUAUGAGAAGAAAAGGACGGUACCAGAGGAGAAAGCCCCGGCUAAAUACGUG